Homo sapiens (human) is the source of this 582-nucleotide long non-coding RNA. Ensembl annotates it as long intergenic non-protein coding RNA 2482. NCBI's taxonomy places the organism in Eukaryota, Metazoa, Chordata, Mammalia, Primates, Hominidae. The record is from Ensembl.
AUGCGCACCCCAUGUCCCCGCCCGCUGUAGCGCCACAGCUCUUUGGGCGUUGAUUCUAGGGUCAGGGCCCUCACUCACACUGCUGGAAGGUUAAAGUCGACUUCACGCUAGUUUAAGGAAAUAUCUGACGCUGAUAACCAUGUCCCAAGCACUGCUCUAAGUUCCCAAUGUGUCCGGAAUUGGUGGGUUCUUGGUCUCACUGACUUCAAGAAUGAAGCCACGGACCCUCGCGCCUCUCUGUCAUCCCCUUCUGCUCCCAGCUGGAGAAAACUCUGCUUUUAAGGGGCUUGCCAUGGUCCAAAUAUUUUUAGACUAUGCUAAAAACAGCCUCAGGACCUUCAGCACUGAUCAACAAUCCUGGGCAUGGGCUGACCGACAGUUUUCACCCAGAGAGUGAAGAUCAUGGAGGAGCCAUCUUAAAUUCUGCCCAGCGCAGGCUCCCAGGAAUCCUAAUGUCACGAUCUCACUGCAGCCAAUGUGACAAACACAGCAGUAAUUAAGUCUAGAGAGCUAAACACACCUCAAAAAGAAUUGUCUCUUGGUAUGAGUGGAAUGGAAUAAAAUACAUGGAAACCCACAAAA